UACCGAAGACUAUCAAACUCCGAAUGCCGUCAUCUUAUACUUGGGAGUCAGACUGUGGGGGAUAAGAUUCAUAGUCGAAAGGGCAACAGCCCAGAUCGUCAGCUAAGGUCCCUAAAUGUAAGUUAAGUGGUAAAGGAUGUGGGAUUGCACAGACAACCAGGAUGUUGGCUUAGAAGCAGCCACUCAUUCAAAGAGUGCGUAAUAGCUCACUGGUCGAGUGAUCCUGCGCCGAAGAUUUCCGGGGCUAAAACUUACUACCGAAGCUACGGCAUCAGUAAUGAUGGGUAGGGGAGCUUCCCAUACGGGUUGAAGCAUGACCGUAAGGACAUGUGGACAGUAUGGGAGUGAGAAUGUUGGCAUGAGUAGCGAGAUGUGGGUGAGAAUCCCACAGGCCGUAAACCCAAGGUUUCCAGGGGAAGGUUCGUCCGCCCUGGGUUAGUCGGGACCUAAGCUGAGGCCGAAAGGCGUAGGUGAUGGACAACAGGUUGAUAUUCCUGUACUA
Molecule: ribosomal RNA, 502 nt
Filed under: Clostridioides difficile
Lineage: Bacteria; Bacillati; Bacillota; Clostridia; Peptostreptococcales; Peptostreptococcaceae
Description: bacterial LSU rRNA
Rfam family: Bacterial large subunit ribosomal RNA
Source: RNAcentral